RNAcentral lists this ribosomal RNA (252 nucleotides) under uncultured bacterium. RNAcentral's name for it is "partial 16S ribosomal RNA". It matches the Rfam family "Bacterial small subunit ribosomal RNA", at positions 524 to 776 of the family's 1533-position model. The record is from RNAcentral.
UACGAGGGGGGCGAGCGUUGUUCGGAAUUAUUGGGCGUAAAGGGUGCGUAGGCGGCCUGACAAGUCUGAUGUGAAAUCCCUGGGCUCAACCCAGGGCCUGCAUCGGAAACUGUCGGGCUUGAGUAUGGGAGAGGUGAGUGGGAAUUUCCGGUGUAGCGGUGAAAUGCGUAGAUAUCGGAAGGAACACCUGUGGCGAAAGCGGCUCACUGGACCAUUACUGACGCUGAGGCACGAAAGCUAGGGAGCAACAGG